UUCUUUUUUUGAAGUUCUUUACUUUUUUUAAUUGGAGGAUAAUUACUUUACAGUAUCGUCAUGGUUUUUGCUAUAUAUCAAUAUGAAUCGGCCAUA
Long non-coding RNA from Cervus elaphus (red deer), 96 nucleotides. RefSeq lists it as uncharacterized. The record is from RefSeq and is a predicted model, not a curated record. The transcript is spliced from 3 exons. NCBI's taxonomy places the organism in Eukaryota, Metazoa, Chordata, Mammalia, Artiodactyla, Cervidae.